Molecule: ribosomal RNA, 440 nt
Filed under: uncultured bacterium
Lineage: Bacteria
Description: partial 16S ribosomal RNA
Rfam family: Bacterial small subunit ribosomal RNA
Source: RNAcentral
CCUACGGGAGGCAGCAGUGGGGGAUAUUGCACAAUGGGGGAAACCCUGAUCCAGCGACGCCGCGUGAGUGAAGAAGUAUUUCGGUAUGUAAAGCUCUAUCAUCAGGGAAGAAAAUGACAGUACCUGACCAAUCAGCCCCGGCUAACUACGUGCCAGCAGCCGCGGGAAUACGUAGGGGGCAAGCGUGAUCCGGAUUUGCUGGGUGUAACGGCAGCGUAGACGGUUUUGCAUGUCUGGAGUGAAAGCCCGGGGGCCAACCCCGGGACCGCUUUGGAAACUGUGUAACUGGAGUACGGGAGGGGCAGGCGGAAUUCCAGGUGUAGCGGUGAAAUGCGUAGAUAUCAGGAGGAACACCGGCGGCGAAGGCGGCCUGCUGGACUGAAACUGACGUUGAGGCACGAAAGCGUGGGGAGCAAACAGGAUUAGAUACCCCAGUAGUC